RNAcentral lists this ribosomal RNA (400 nucleotides) under uncultured bacterium. Its description in RNAcentral is "bacterial SSU rRNA". It matches the Rfam family "Bacterial small subunit ribosomal RNA", at positions 356 to 773 of the family's 1533-position model. The record is from RNAcentral.
GGGGAAUAUUGGACAAUGGGCGAAAGCCUGAUCCAGCAAUGCCGCGUGAGUGAAGAAGGCCUUAGGGUUGUAAAGCUCUUUUACCCGGGAUGAUAAUGACAGUACCGGGAGAAUAAGCUCCGGCUAACUCCGUGCCAGCAGCCGCGGUAAUACGGAGGGAGCUAGCGUUGUUCGGAAUCACUGGGCGUAAAGCGCACGUAGGCGGCUUUGUAAGUUAGAGGUGAAAGCCCGGGGCUCAACUCCGGAACUGCCUUUAAGACUGCAUCGCUUGAAUCUGGGAGAGGUAAGUGGAAUUCCGAGUGUAGAGGUGAAAUUCGUAGAUAUUCGGAAGAACACCAGUGGCGAAGGCGGCUUACUGGACCAGAAUUGACGCUGAGGUGCGAAGGCGUGGGGAGCAAAC